RNAcentral lists this unclassified non-coding RNA (306 nucleotides) under uncultured fungus. RNAcentral describes it as "sequence contains ITS2". The stretch from base 1 to 52 matches the Rfam family "5.8S ribosomal RNA", at positions 103 to 154 of the family's 154-position model. Lineage: Eukaryota; Fungi. The record is from RNAcentral.
AACGCACCUUGCGCCCCUUGGCAUUCCAAGGGGCAUGCCUGUUUGAGUGUCACGUAUCUCAUCGCCCGUCUCUCUCUCUCUUUUGGGAGUCUGUGGGUGGACUUGGGUGUUGCCGGCUCUCCGUCGGCUCGUCCUGAAAUGAAUUAGCCUAGACCUCCGGUCGCCUUCCUCGGUGUGAUAAAUAUCAAUGCCGCUCGGUUGAGGCUGGCCAGGUUGGCUCACAGAGUCGCGUCGUCGCCUCCCUUGAGGUGAUCGCUUCCUUUGAAAUUUGACCUCAAAUCAGGUAGGGUUACCCGCUGAACUUAA